Lathyrus oleraceus (garden pea) is the source of this 1722-nucleotide RNA transcript. RefSeq lists it as uncharacterized. The record is from RefSeq and is a predicted model, not a curated record. NCBI's taxonomy places the organism in Eukaryota, Viridiplantae, Streptophyta, Magnoliopsida, Fabales, Fabaceae. The transcript is spliced from 7 exons.
GGUUACACUCACAUAGAACAAAAGAAUAAACAAUCCGAAAUAGCAACAAAGUGCGAAAGAUAAGAUAAUCGAGUGUAAAGCAAAACAAUACUAACUAACAAUGCCGUUACCAUCCGCAGUUUCCGCUCUCAAAUCUUUCUCAUCCACCAUUACCGCCCAAUCUUCCUUCCCUCCAAAACGCAGCAUUCCCCUCUCCCAUUCUCAUAUUCUCUCCCGCAGAAAUAUAUCCUUACUUUCUUUCUUCUCUAUCUCUGCACCUGCCUCCGCCAUUGACAUCGGCAUCUCAGGACCAAAGGAUUGGCUGAAAGAGCAAAAGAAAAAAUCCUCAAAGUUUCUUCUAGCUCCCGUUGAUGCUUCCCGCGAAACUCUUCGCUCUGUAUAUCUUUUUCUCACGGAAACUGAUGCUGCUUUUACCGAUGAGGAUUUGCAGAAAUUUCAGCAGCUAUUCAGAUCUGCUGCCAGGGAUUGUGUCCCACAGGACCGGAAUUCUUUCGUAGCUUUCCAAGCUAACACCGGUGUUGAGGUGUGCACAUUUCGGUUGGUUGUGAAGAAUGCAGCCUCCUUACUUGGAAAGAAGGAUCCUGUAAAGUUAGAGGCGGAAGCUUUGCUAGAUAAUCUUAUAAGAUCUUUCACAUAUAUCAGUGGGAUGGCAAGUGAAACCAACAUUGAUCUUGCAUCAGAUAGGAGAAAGAUAGCAGAUGCCAUAUCGGAUACAAUAACGUGUCUCGACAAAUUUGAGCAAGGAAUUAGGGAUUGUCUUGAAAUCUGAGGCUGUAAAUAGGCUGUUCUACUUUUCAAAGUGGAAGGUUAAUUUUUAAAAUGUCAUUUAAAAUUUUGAUCGGGUGAACCAGAAGCUUCCACCAAGUACAAGCGACAGCAGGGUGCUCCGUCGUCUGGAUUGGUUUGUAAUGACCUAGGCAAGCUGCGGAGCUUGUUGAAGAGAUUUAACGGAUCAUUCAAGAGGCCAAAAUGAGCAUCUGGGUCUCCAAUUUGUGCAAGUUUUACCUGAGUGAAGCCAAUAGAUGGUAAAAGUUGGUCCGGCCAAUCACUGUAAAAUUGGAAUACUGAAUUGGAUAGUGUGGUCGACGACUUAUUCAUGAAGUCUGCUAAGAUGACUGUGUGGGUUAAGACACAAUUGCUAGCUAAAAUCCUCAGCAGUUGCAUGGCGUUGGAUUGGGCGAGGUAGUACAAGAUACCUUCUAGAAUCCAAACUGUGCUCUUUUGUGGCAAGAAACCUGCAAUCUGAAGCUUUUCCAUCCAAUCAUUUUCUCUUAUGUCUGCUGCUACUCUAGUUAAUGAUUUUGCUUUGGACAUACUAUGUUGCGAAUCGAAUGUGGAUUCCUUAGCUGCUUGCAGAAUAGUGGUUUUCACCUCCAAGACUUCUGCAAAAUCAACCUCAAAGACAUCACUGUCCUUUAAGCAAUUCAAACGAUAUGCUCUUGUGUCCAUUCCUGCAUCAAAUUUUGCAAGAAUAUAUAUUAGCUAACUCGAAUGACUAUAAUCCUUUCUAGUACAGAUCUUCAAGGUUUCAUUGCCAAUGAUAAUGAUUAGAUGCCGCCGAUCAGACUGGAUGUGGUCCAAAUUUGUCCUGUCUAGUGAUUGUCGGGAACUUAAGUUCUCUUUUUUAAAAUGUGUUGUUACAUUUUAAUCAUGUCUGAAAGGUCCUGCUUGUAUCCACAAAUUAACUAGCAGUAUAAUAAAUGAAGGUUUAGAUUGUGUGUG